UCCUCUUCUCCAGCGCUCUUCCCUUGCCCUCGGCGGCCGGAGCCGGAGAGGCCAACUUCCACCAACUUGUUCCACUCCGGCCAGCCACAGUUGAACCCCCUCCACGCCAACACAGCUCGCAUUCACCAUCGCAGCCGCCCGUUCUCCCGACUCCCGCCCGACUCGACGGCCUCGGUCGAUCGGUCCUCUGCUCGCCUCACGCCAUGCCCACCUCCCGCACGACGGAAUGCCGAACCCGGACCCGCCGCUGCCCCCUUCCCUCUUCAACUCCCUCAUCGCCUCCCGCGCCCGCGCCGGCCGCGCGGCCGACGCCUUCUCGCUGCUCGCGCGCAUGCUCGCCGCGGGCGUCGCCCCGACCGCGUUCACCUUCGCGCCGAUCCUCUCCUCGCCCUCCGUGUGCCCCCGCCGCGCCGCGCAGCUGCACCCGCACAUCCUCAAGCGCGGCCUGCUCCAUAGCGGCCCGUACUCCGGGACGGCGCUGCUGGGCUUCUUCGCGCGGCACGGACGGUUCGGCGAGGCGCUCGACCUGUUCGGCGAAAUGCCCGCACGGAGCGUCGUCACCUGGAACUGUCUCGUCUCUUCGUUCGCGCAGCAUGGGCAUGUCCAGGACGCCGUGUUUUGGUUCAGGGAACUCGUGAGGAGCAGCGAUGGCUUGUCUGAAGGCUCUCUCGUUGCGGUCUUUCCUGCACUUGUGUCACCGGACCCAGUUCAUGGGCUUGCCAUCAAAACCGCAAUGGAUUCCUUCUCGGCAGUUGCUAACUCGUUGCUGAAUUGUUACUGUACUCGUGGUACAGUUUGCGCGGCAGAGAAGCUAUUUAAUGGUUUGAUGUUCAGAGAUGUGGUUUCGUGGAAUACAAUGAUCACUGCUUUCGCUAGGAGUAACUUCCCAGGGAGAGCUUUUGAGCUUUUCUCAGCGAUGCAUCGUCAGGGUGUUUCUCCAGAUGAAACUACAUUUUCCAGUGUUCUUUACGCUGGCACCAGUAUAAAUGCACAGGAGCAUGGGAAGUCUGUUCACGCCAAAUCUAUCAAGCAUAACCUCAACACGACAGUAUUUGUGAGUACUUCACUGGUUGAUUUCUACAACAAAUGUGUUGGUAGGAGGGACGCUCUUAAAGUACUCAAAGAGGUUCCUCAUAAGAGCACUGCAUGUUGGAAUGCUCUGCUUUCUAUCAAGUCAGAUGGUGAUUUUCCAACUCUGUUUAUGAUUCUGAGAGAUAUGUUGCAAUCAGGGAUUAGCCCAAAUGAAUUUACCUUUUCUUCCUUGCUCAAGGAUCCAUCACUGUUGGAUGUGCAUCAGAUUCACUCAUUGGUCAUAAAACUGGGUUAUGACGGUAAUGACUAUGUUUCAAGUGCUAUUAUAUCUUCCUAUGUCUCACAUGGCUUUGUUUCUGAUGCCCUCGCUUAUGGAGUUACAUUGGAUCCUGACUCCUGUAAUGUCUCCAUGAAUGUUUUAGCUGGGGCAUAUAAUAGAGCUCACAUGUACCAAGAGACCAAGGAGCUACUCUUACAUCCGAAAACGAGUGAUACUAUUUCAUGGAGCAUACUUAUUACUGCUUGUGCAAGGAAUGGUGAUUAUGCUGAAGCUUUUGGACAUUUCAGACAGAUGAGAAUUUUGGGGCAUCAUUUUGAUAACUAUGUAGCUGUGAGCUUGCUGAGUAUUUGUACAAAAGUUAACAGCCUUGUUCUUGGUAGGCUGGUGCAUGGGGUAAUCACCAAGACCAGUUAUGGGUGCUCAGACACUCGUACUAAUAAUAUGUUGCUAGAUAUGUAUGCUAAAUGUGGUAGAAUUGAAGACUGUCUGAAAGCCUUUGAGGAAAUGGAAGAUAGGAACGUAAUCUCAUGGACAGCUGUGAUUUCAGGCCUUGCACUUAACGGUUUUUCUCGUAAGGCCCUGGCAUGGUUUAAAGCUAUGGAAGAGGCUGCUGUCAAACCUGACAAGGUAGCAAUUCUGGCAGUCCUUUCAGCUUGUAGACAUGGAGGACUUGUGCAGGAGGGAAUGGAGAUAUUCAAACGUAUGGAAGCUGAUUACUCAACUGAAGCUGGGAUGGAGCAUUACAUUUGUGUGGUGGACAUGCUAUGCAAGUGUGGUCAUUUAAAGCAAGCUGACUCUGUGAUUAGAGGCAUGCCUUUCCGCCCGAGUACUAUUAUUUGGCGCACAUUCAUCCAAGGAUGCAAUACAUAUGGCAUGCUAGAUACUCAAGUGUUUAGCUAGUGAUGGUCUUGGUAAACAAUGGAGGUGGGUGUUUUCUCACAUGAAUUCAGAAAAUGGUUGUUGCCAAAUUAAUAUUUAGACCAUACUAGAUAUCAAAUGAAUUUUGGUUGCACAUAGUGUUGAUAUUGUUACAGUAAUGUAAGCUACUCCCUCCGUAAACUAAUAUAAGAGCGUUUAGAAUACUAAAGUAGUGAUCUAAACGCUCUUAUAUUAGUUUACAGAGGGAGUAUCAUUUAAUUCAUAUGUUUGAACAACCUAGUAAUGGAGGAUAUGUGAUUGCUGGGCACCUUUAUCAACCACUUCACCUCUUUUGUUCGCUCCAUUAUAUCUAUGAUGAAGGGUGUUGAUUGGAAACGUCCUCAUUUGAUGAAUCUUUUCUGGUUGGUGGUUCAUUGUGGGUCGGCAUUUCUUUGCUCCCUUCCAUAGUUCCUUUGGUUUGGCUUUGUGUUCUGUCAUCAUCUAGUGGCUAACUACAGAAGGAAAAUGCCUUGCUCUUUCUGCAUGGUGUUGCAAACUAGCAAGAGGUGUUCCGCGUCCAUGUUGUUACCUUCAUGGUCAGAAUUGUGCAACAUGGAGGAGGAGAAAAGGAUGGCUUCUAUUCCAGUUGACCUGAAUAUGUGGCCCUUAAAGAUCCAACCUCCAUAUGGUCAAUGAAAUGUUCACUUUGGCAGUUAGAAUUUGAAACUGGUCGUCAUUCUUUGUGAAAGUUGCAAAGGUGGUGUGAAGGUCCACAAAGAAAAAUGGAAAUGUGUACCUAGUUAGAAAUAUCUGAAGAAAUAUUGUACAGUGACUGAAUUCAGUUAUUCAGGCAAAAGGAGAGUAAAAGGAGAAAGGCUGUUCUUGAAAUACCAAGGUGUGGUAGCCACUUGCAGCCUAUGAAAAUGUGAAAAAUGACAGGAACGUGUUCAGUAAGAUCCCCUCCUAUUUACUAUGCUUGACUUGUGAAUCUAAUUGAUGGUGAUCUGCAUGAUCAUACCAGACCAAUGCAUUUAUAAUGAUUAGUAUAGUGAGGCUGCUGUCACCAGGUGUGUUUCCUGCUCAAUGAGUAUCUGAAACGUGGAUUCCUUUUUCAUAAACAAGUUCUUGUGAGGCGCCUCUUAGCAUCAUGGAUUAGUCAGCCAAGGUCGUUAGGCUGUGGCAAAUCGGUUGCAAAGAUGAUAAAGUACGAGUCAGCACAGAGGCAUUAACUAAUUAUCAGAGGUACACAGGCUUUUGACGAAGCAUGCACAUUAGUAGCAAAAUAUGGGUUAUAUAAUACCGAAGCAUGGGCUUAUAUUGGCUAUUGCUUUUCAUUCCACUAGGCAUUGUCUACGUAGCUCCAACGGUUCGCGUUUACUAAUUGAAUGAUGACCAGGCACUGUUGUCCUGGUACUAUAAAGGUGAUCUGGUCAAAGAAUUCAAAGCAUUAUCUAAUCCAAUGGCUGGUGGGCUGAGAUAUCAUGACCUCCGUAUCAAGCUGGGAUUGCAAAGAUUGACAGUUGAAGGAAGAUCUAGCUUUACUAGAUAGUACAUGUCUAACGAUUUUAAAUUCUGAUUAAUUUUGGUUGCUGCCAUAUCUUAUGCGUGUUGCAAGGUACUUAGUGUAUCUCUGAAUUGUAGGCAGAUAAACUGGCAUUGUCCUUGGUACGACACCUUGAUGCAGAUUGCAA
Molecule: non-coding RNA, 3861 nt
Organism: Triticum urartu
Lineage: Eukaryota; Viridiplantae; Streptophyta; Magnoliopsida; Poales; Poaceae
Source: RefSeq, a predicted model, not a curated record